GAUGAACGCUGGCGGCGUGCCUAAUACAUGCAAGUCGAGCGAACGGACGAGAAGCUUGCUUCUCUGCUGUUAGCGGCGGACGGGUGAGUAACACGUGGAUAACCUACCUAUAAGACUGGGAUAACUUCGGGAAACCGGAGCUAAUACCGGAUAAUAUUUUGAACCGCAUGGUUCAAAAGUGAAAGACGGUCUUGCUGUCACUUAUAGAUGGAUCCGCGCUGCAUUAGCUAGUUGGUAAGGUAACGGCUUACCAAGGCAACGAUGCAUAGCCGACCUGAGAGGGUGAUCGGCCACACUGGAACUGAGACACGGUCCAGACUCCUACGGGAGGCAGCAGUAGGGAAUCUUCCGCAAUGGGCGAAAGCCUGACGGAGCAACGCCGCGUGAGUGAUGAAGGUCUUCGGAUCGUAAAACUCUGUUAUUAGGGAAGAACAUAUGUGUAAGUAACUGUGCACAUCUUGACGGUACCUAAUCAGGAAGCCACGGCUAACUACGUG
This 497-nucleotide ribosomal RNA is filed under the name uncultured bacterium. Its description in RNAcentral is "partial 16S ribosomal RNA". It matches the Rfam family "Bacterial small subunit ribosomal RNA", at positions 28 to 507 of the family's 1533-position model. The record is from RNAcentral.